RNAcentral lists this ribosomal RNA (460 nucleotides) under uncultured bacterium. RNAcentral's name for it is "partial 16S ribosomal RNA". It matches the Rfam family "Bacterial small subunit ribosomal RNA", at positions 338 to 795 of the family's 1533-position model. The record is from RNAcentral.
CCUACGGGAGGCAGCAGUGAGGAAUAUUGGUCAAUGGCCGGAAGGCUGAACCAGCCAUGCCGCGUGAAGGUCAGUGCCCUAUGGGCGUUAAACUUCUUUUGUGCGGGAGCAAUACUGGUCACGUGUGGCACGACUAGAGUACCGUACGAAUAAGCAUCGGCUCACUCCGUGCCAGCAGCCGCGGUCAUACGGGGGAUGCAAGCGUUAUCCGGAGUUAUUGGGUUUAAAGAGUGCGUAGGCUGUGAGGUAAGUCAGCGGUGAAAUGCCCCCGCUCAACGGGGUGAAGUGCCAUUGAUACUGCCGUGCUGGAAUGCGGAUGCCGUGGGAGGAAUGUGUGGUGUAGCGGUGAAAUGCAUAGAUAUCACACAGAACACCGAUUGCGAAGGCAUCUCACGAAGCCGCGAUUGACGCUGAUGCACGAAAGCGUGGGUAUCAAACAGGAUUAGAUACCCGAGUAGUC